Melopsittacus undulatus (budgerigar) is the source of this 1728-nucleotide long non-coding RNA. RefSeq lists it as uncharacterized. NCBI's taxonomy places the organism in Eukaryota, Metazoa, Chordata, Aves, Psittaciformes, Psittaculidae. The record is from RefSeq and is a predicted model, not a curated record. The transcript has 3 exons.
UCCACUGUCCAUGUCAACGACAAAAAUAUUAAACAAGAUUUAGGAGACCGGGUACAUGAGUAAUUCCAGAGAAUGCAAGGAUACCUGUGUUAAGUAGUAACUUUACUUUUCAUCUACAGAUGCACUUAAAAUGGCAAUAAAACAUCAAGAGGUUCAAACUGCUUCAGUUUCAGUUGACAUUACUUCCACUGCAAUGGACUAUGGCUGGUAGAUCAUAUCCUCAGCACAUGAACUAGAAGACGUCUUUUCCUGGCCUUUGAAUUGCAGAGCUAUCUGCUGUGUACCAGAGCUCAUUGCUGUAUUCUCAUGUGAAGUUCAGCCUUUUGCCAAACAGUCUGUCAGCUACAAGUGGCAUGUAAUGUUUAUACACUUGACCCAACAUGAAGGGAAGACCACAGGCAACAUGUUCUUCAUCAAGAAAGAGGAAGAGCCAAUCUACUACAGGAACUGUGAUCUGAAAAGUCUGAGAACUGCUGCACUAAUUUCCAGAACCUCUGAGCUGCUCUGGAAAGUUCCAUGGAAAGGCCCACUGCAAUUCUUCCACUUGACCAGUGGAACAGUCACAGAAUCCCAUUAUCAAGGGUAGAUCAUGGUUUAGGAGCACCACUGAACAGGCAAAAGACCAGCAACUAUCUGCAUUAGCAGCAUCCAGGAAACAAGUCCAAGAAGGGCCCAGGUCAAUUCACCACAACCACCUUAAAAUCCCUAACAUAGGCAAACUGUUUCUCUCCCAGAUACUCCCCACAUGUACCUCAGACAUGAUAAUGUGAUAAACACAUAAAUGUAUUGGCUUUCACAAAUCACAGGUGUUGCUAUGUGGAUAUAACUGUAUGAGUUUGAAAUAACAGAAACAGCUCGCUAAAGACACAAGAUUAGACAAGUUGAAAAUGGCCAGAACUCUUGAGCAAAAUGGAGUCACACAGCAAAAGAAUUUGUAAAGGUAAAAGAAAGGGGGGGGGGAGGGGGGCUUGAUAUGAGGAAAGCUAGUGACUGGAAAACAUAGGGUUAAAGUACUUUUAGCUUAACUUAGGUCCAAGAUAAAGAACAAUGUUUGUGUUGUAAGUCUGUGGUGAGAUAACAGGAUUUAGUGGCCCCACUAAACAUGAGUGAAUUAUUUCACACCAUCCUUCUACUUAUCAGUUAGUUUGGAGACAGUGACUCCGAACCAUCUGCUAGCUUCAGAUACUUCUUGUCUGCCAGUCCUGUUUUGCUUGCAAUACAUUUUGUACAAAGGUCACACUGUUCUAAAUCUUUACCAGCUAUCAGAAGAAUUACAGAUAUGGCUGGUUUCAGCUAGUUGUGUGUUUACUGGGGCAUCCAACUGUGCCAAAGGUGAAAAGUACACCAUGAGGAAUACUGCUUACUUCAUCUUGAAGACCCCUGCUCACAUGAGGAAGACUGCUUACUUCAUCAUCAAGACCCCCUGCCCACGAUCACCGGAGAGCAGUGUGGAGGAGCCAAGAGGAGGAGACAUAUGAUAAUAAGUUCCUGGAGCUAGUUAUAAUAUUCCCCACCUAUACGCAGGAAUUAUGAAUAUGUAUAUGACUAAUGCAAUAGUCAAAGUAUAUAAACCUGUAACUAAUGCUAAUCAGUGCGCCUCUGGCUAUGGUCAUGUGCCCAGCGUUGUUGCUUUGCUUUAUUGACUUUAUCAAUAAAACCCUGUUAUCUUGAUUAGAGGAGUGAGCUCGUAUUUCACAAUACAAAUGACCUGCACCUUAUCCUCCACCU